Molecule: long non-coding RNA, 845 nt
Filed under: Dermacentor andersoni
Lineage: Eukaryota; Metazoa; Arthropoda; Arachnida; Ixodida; Ixodidae
Description: uncharacterized LOC126539375
Source: RNAcentral
GCUGCAGUACGCUGCCUUUACGUGACGCCCUUGGAGCAAUUCGCAUAGUUGGAUAGUCAUAGUAAAGUUCUGCCCGAGUUUUUUCAAGGAGCCACGCCGUGCACCUCAUCAGCAUCUUCAUGCCCAGCUGUUGGAGGAUCACCAGGAGAAGGGUAGAGAACGGUGAUGCUGGUGAAGCAUCCCGAGAAAUGUUUUCUCGCUCUUGUCAAGAACUUCUUUGGGACGCACAUAACGCUGUAUUUGUCCUCCACAGUAAUGUCUGCUGUGGACUCUGGAAUACAUGCACAAACGCCACCACACCCAAGAGCUCACGCGGUGCACAAAACCCCGCAUAAACUGCCGAGUGCUAAAGCUGCACAAAAGCGCAGGGGUUAACCCACGCAGGCUCUGAACUUGAGGUAUUCUGCAAGGGCAUGGGUUCGAUACCCUGUGGUGGUGGAACAACACUCGCAUUUGCCGAUAAAUAUAUUGGUCGAGCUUUAAGAGUUCAAAGGGCUUCUAAAGAAUGUGAUAUGAGGCGUCGCAUUCUUGUACAGAAUGCGUCCUCGAUGACGGGUAAACGCAGGCUGCGGCGUGAUGGCGCAAGUUUCUCGAUCAGCGUUGACGACCCCGCCAUCACACACACAAGGCUCCAGGAUGAGUACCGCCUGGCUCUCAAGCUCGGACUUGGCCCCGGCGACCUGCUGCAAUGCAACCGGUCGGCCAUUAUCACCUGCUUCUUACCUGCAGACGUAAAAUUGGAACUCUGGCAGAAAUUCAACCAACUGACAAAUGCGGAGAAGGCGGACACAUGAUGUGUGCGUUUUCUUUGAGAACACGAAAUAAAGCUCGCAGGCACAUUUUAA